Podarcis lilfordi (Lilford's wall lizard) is the source of this 7612-nucleotide non-coding RNA. NCBI's taxonomy places the organism in Eukaryota, Metazoa, Chordata, Lepidosauria, Squamata, Lacertidae. The record is from the annotation of a GenBank genome assembly.
GGACAUGUUUUCAUCAGGCUUCUCGUGAGCUCCCAAUCCAAGCUUUGUCGCUUUUGUACUCCUAAAUGGGAAUGCUGAAUGAUAUCUGAACUUAGAAAUCUGAACGAUUUUCUUCCAUUUCUUACAGACCUCAGUGGCAAAUAAAUCCCUCAUCCUGUUUAUUGUAGAUUGGUGUUGCCUGAUGCUCAAGAAGAUGCAGCCAAUGAGAUCCAGGCAAUUUGUUUUAGAAUGAUUUCCAAUUUGGGUGGUAAAGGUCUGGUGGCAGCGUGGAUAGGAAUCCUGUCAUUGUGAUGGUCAGUGUCACAGAGUGAUCCUAAGUCAGGGGUCAGCAACCUUUUCCAGCCAUGGGCUGGUCUACCGUCCCUUAGACCAUGUAGUGGGCCGGACUAUAUUUUGAGGGGGGGGGAUGAUCAAAUUCCUAUGCCCCACAAAUAACCCAGAGAUGCAUUUUAAAUAAAAGCACACAUUCUACUCAUGUAAAAACACACUGAUUCCCAGACCAUCCACAGGCCAGAUUGAGAAGGCGAUUGGGCCGCAUCCAGCCCUCGGGCCUUAGGUUGCCUACCCCUGUCCUAAGUCAUAGGAGCCAACUCCUAGGGGCUGAGGGAGCUUUGGCCCCCACAAUAAAAAACCUGAGGGGGUUGGGCCCCCACAAAGUUGAUGGGCAUUCCCAUUUAAAUGGUGUGUGCGCACUGCGUCAUGUGAUCAAUUAUGCAGGGCGGGGCUUACCUGGGCCCCCACAAUAUUUUUUUCAAGUUGGCACCCCUGUCCUAAGUGGAGGAGGGCAGUGAACUGGCAGGUUACCUGCCCUGCUGGCUUGCACUGGGAGACGGUGGAGAAUUUUAUCUUGGGGGGUGAAGUCAAACUGUUGGGAGGUUGCAGCACCUGCUGUGGCUGUAGAGACCGAUACAGGAGUUGUUUCCUAUAAUGAAGCAUGAUUUUUUUGCUUUGGCAUGUUUCCAUUUUGUAAGGGAAGUAAAACAUCAGUGGGUGAGGAAUGCUAGGUCCAAGCUGGCGUAGUUCAUGAGCCCAGUCAAUGAAGGGGCCAUUGAUGGUCUUGUUCAUGAGCCCAGUCAAUGAAGGGGACAUUGAUGGUUUUGUUCAUGAGCCCAGUCAAUGAAGGGGACAUUGAUGGUCUUGUUCUCCAAUAGGUUUUCUAAUUCUCCCCUUAAAGUUGUCCCAAGUUGGUUGCUUUCAUUGCAACCUGUGGUUGUGAAUUCUCUAAGUUAACUAUACACUGUGUUUGAAUUGUGCCUGCUUCUGGAAAGUAAGCUAGAUAGAUCUGCAGUAAAUGUUUAACAUUUUAUGAAUCGUCUUUUCAAAACAUUUCUACAUUGCUUUCAAUCCAGAACCUAUGAAAACAAGGUCUUUCUGUGUGGAUAAGCUCAAUAUCUCUCCUUGCCUGUUCCAUGCCGAGUUUUCUGUGGGUCAAGGAUGAUAAGGUAAUUUUCUUAAAACUCACCUAUUAGCAUUCUGCUACAGCCGCAGUUUCAUAAAAUUGUUCCUACCUAAGUGAAAAAGUAAUAAAACUGACUUCUAUUAUUUAUUACGAACCUUUAUAUCUUUCACAUUUAUUUUUAAAGCCUUCCCCCCUCCCCCGCUUGCCUUUCCCCGUGUUUUUCCUAGGAUCUUUUAUGAUCAGGGCAAGGGCAGGAUUCUGGCUCUGCAACUCAACUCACCCCAAUUCUGAAUUUUAAAGGCAAUGGGUUUCUGGUUUUCCUUACGCCUUCUUGGCUGGGACAGAAAUACACGCACGCACCCACACACAAACAGACCUUAUUACUAUGUGGGUUUCAAAUACCAAAAUGAACUAAUUAUGUUUCUCUGUCAUUUUCCUUUGAUGGCUCGCCCUGAAUAGAAAAGAACAGAAGCAACCCAGGAUGCAGACAAACAAAACACCCCACCUCUUUUCCUAAUAAAUUUCUGAAUCCAUUUGUCACGCAGAUCGCAGGAAGCUAGAGAAAAGAUGAAACGGGGACACGUUCUAAGGGCAACAUGUAUCCAGCUUCAGGAAAUGGGCCAAUGGUGUUCUCACUCUGCCUCAUAGUUGCGUUGAGUCCUUUCAUCACUUGGCUUCAGAAUGUAGAGGCAGCAAACCCCCAUAAACAGCUUCUCAUGUAAGCAAUUCCCAACUCCACUAUUUCAGGUGUAAAGAGGUAAGGUAAAGGUAAAGGGACCCCUGACCAUUAGGUCCAGUCAUGACCGACUCUGGGGUUGCGGCGCUCAUCUCGCUUUAUUGGCCAAGGGAGCCGGCGUACAGCUUCCGGGUCAUGUGGCCAGCAUGACUAAGCCGCUUCUGGCGAACCAGAGCAGCGCACAGAAACGCCAUUUACCUUCCCGCCGGAGUGGUACCUAUUUAUCUACUUGCACUGGUGUGCUUUCGAACUGCUAGGUUGGCAGGAGCAGGGACCGAACAACGGGAGCUCACCCCAUCGCGGGGAUUCGAACCGCCGACCUUCUGAUCGGCAAGCCCUAGGCUCUGUGGUUUAACCCACAGCGCCACCCGUGUCCCUGUGUAAAGAGGUACCUAUUCAGAAAAUGAUGGAAGCUAUCUUAUAAAGGUGUCAGGCACUCCUCUGUGGAAAGGGAAUGCCACAGUUCAGGACAGGGCAGCUCAACUUUUUAAUCAUGUGGACCGCAAGAGUACUUUGCCUGGAAGCCUGUGGGCCACACAGUGCCUUGUCAUGCAGUAGGCAGGGGGAGUGAGGCUCUGACUGUUGGGAUACUGCUGGGGAGACGGGGGCAUCAGGCAGGCCCCCAGCUGGCUCCAGCCACUGGCUGGCUGCCAGGCGAUCUCCAGGUCACAGAGCAGCAUCAGUCAGCAACACGAGCCUCAGAUACGUUUUGAGACCCGUGCACGCUCUGUCAGCAGAGUGUGUAAAUCUUCUCACAGCAAAAGAGGCUGACAGAGAAAUGUGUAAGCAGUGUGGUGUAGUGGUUAAGAGCAGUAGACUCGUAAUCUGGUGAACUGGGUUCGCUUCCCCGCUCCUCCACAUGCAGCUGCUGGGUGACCUUGGGCCAGUCAUACUUCUCUGAAGUCUCUCAGCCCCACUCACCUCACAGAGUGUUUGUUGUGGGGGAGGAAGCGAAAGGAGAAUGUGAGCCGCUUUGAGACUCCUUCGGGUAGUGAUAAAGCGGGAUAUCAAAUCCAAACUCUUCUACAGCAUUUUAUUCAGCAUAGUUCAGGAACAGAGGAAAACAUGUCUGCUUCCCUUUGUCUCCUGCAAAACAGCAGUAACACAAAAGCGAUAUGCAAACAGAAGUUCCCAGCAAGCGCUGGAAGUAAACAGGCAUGUGACACACAACAGUCAUGCCUGUACCCUUUUAAGGUGGAAAGGAACUAUAUCCUAACACUGACAGGGUUCCAGAGCCUUCCCACCUCCCUCCCAAAGCUGGGUAAGUGCUAACUAAGAUUUGGGAAGGAGGAAGGAGGACUCUAGGACCCUGUCAGAGCCCUCGUGCCUCCUUCCCAAAGCCCAGCACCUUGCUCACCCAGAUUUGGGAAGGCAGCAAGACGUCAGGGGUGUGUGUGUCAAAUGUUGCCGAGGGUCACCAAAAAAGGCCUCAAGGGCCACAUGCAGUUGGCCCUCCCUGGCUUAGGGGCUGUCAAAAAGAAUGCCACCCUAGUCCCAAACGUCUGAGGUUAGUGAAACUCCUAAGAGGGUCCCCACUGCUACUCUUAACACCCAGGAAGGUCUGUCUUGAAUUCUGCAAGAGUCCAUUGUUGGUUGGUUUUCAAAUGUGUACUUCUGAUUCCGUGUCUUUAGCAACACUUUUAUGGAACCAAGAAAGAGAGUCGCCAAAUCUUGAUCAAAAGACAGACACUCAUGUACACUAGUGGCCAAAAUUGUGGAAACCUUUUGGGGAAAGUGUAUUUCCGAGGUUUGAUGGCUCAUAACACCCGAUUGGCUCUCUAAACACUCAUGCUCAGUGGCUACAUUCAGAUGAACGAACGCUACUACAAAUCAACCUAAGCAAGUUGUGCUUCCCUUUUCUGGUUAUUUGACUAUAACUUUUGAUAGAAUACAGAUAAUUGAACAAAUUUUGUUGCAUUACAUUCUUCAUUAAAUUAACUUUCCAUUGAUAUAUAAUUUUAUGGUAUUACUAAAAAAAAAAAAAAAAGUGAUGUUAAGAGCCUUCAAACCUCGGAAACACACUUUCCCCAAAAGGUUUCCACAAUUUUGUUGUUUUUUUUUUAAAUUGAUAUUUAUUAAAUUUUCAAAAAGUAACAAGUAACAACAAAAAUUUCCAAAAAAGUUUGAAAAUACAAAAAAAAACAAAAGUAAUACAGAAAUAAUAAAGAAGAAAAAAACCCAGCCGCAAAAAAGAAAAAAAGAAAAACAGAAAAACAGAAAUAUAAAAUCCUUUACGAUCUCCAUUAACUUCCUUUCUAGACUUCCUCCUCCUCCCCUCUCUUGUUUCUUAGUAUUUAAUUUUUACAGCAAAUCCUUUCUGUUUUUUCAUAACAAUCUAUCAUUGCGUUUCCUUGUUCUAUUUUCCCUCUUGUCAUAUAAAAACUUUAAAACUCAAAGCUUAUAUUCCAUAUUUAGCAAAUUCUUACAUCAUUACCUUUUUACAAAUCAUUUACCAAUCCUUACUUAAGUCAUAUAAUUUCAUUCAACAUCCUUCAAACAUUUAUAAACAUUCCCAAUAUUAAAAAAUAAAAAAUAAUAAGUCAGAUUCAGUCCAGUCAACUUCCAGCCUCCCUCCCCUGGACCCGGGAUUGUCAGUCCUUUUAACCUCAAUAAUCCGGCUCCUUAACCUGGUUGUCUCGUGUCCGAGGCCCUCAAGUCUCUUUCUUGCCCCUUUCGCCACUCUUGUUGAUAUUUCCCUUUCAGUCGUGGAUACUCCAGCAAGAAGAUGCUUUUGACUCUUUGCAGCAAGUCCAUCCCAAACCCAUUACCCAAGCCAGACAGCAGAUAAUACCUCUUCCAAUUUCCAGAAAACUUGGAGACUUCGACUACUCCAAUCCUCUGAUGGCCCAUCCCUAGACUCGGAAAGUCCAAAUAACCAUAUAGAGGGUGUCAAUCCAUCCCCCAUUUCCAAAUCUGACCACAUUUCAUCUUUCCAGAUCAGGUUUGUCCCAAGUUCAUUUAUCAAGUUCAAAGGCUGAUCUUGCCCAUCCAUAGGUCCCUCCAUCUCUGAAGCCUCCAUCGCUACAGCAGGUUCAUAUACUUGUAUAGACUUUAACUGAAUUUCAUUUGUUUGCUGCUGUGCUCUGGUGACUUCCGUCAUCAUCAAGGUCGACUCCUGACGCAUCUGGUCCAGCUGGGCACUUAAUUUUGCAAAACCUUCCAGGAACACUUGUUCAAGCCUUUGUACAAGCAUUGUCCUUCAAGGUCAGAAAAAAUUCUUUCCCACGAGAAUGGUCCUUCUCUUUUAAACUCUCUGCAUUGCAAUUUCACUCAGUUCCACUAGAUGGAAACCCCCCCCCCUUUUUUUUUUUUAAGAGGGGGAAAAACAACAGUAACAAUCUUUCUUUUUCCAGAGACACUUUAUCCAAAAUUCCCCCUUUCAAAUUCAAGAGGCAACAGUAGAAUCAAAAUGUUACCCUUCUUUUAACUAUCUGUCGAGCUGGAUAAGCUUCAAAGCGUCAGUUCUGACAGCCCGCUCCUGGUUCAGGGCGGUGGAAAAUUACUUUAUUUUAAACUCACUUCCGCAGGGUUGAAAAGAUCAAAACAACCCCCUUCUUCUCCUGCAAUCAAAGGGGGUUCAGAAAUCUUAGAUGUUGAAUUUUAGUUCUCUCAGAAUUUAGUUUUCAGGCUUUAGUAUAAUUUGUCUUUGCUUUCUUCACGUAACAAAAGAACGGAAGGCGACUUCCUGUUUAGACCUUUCCGUUCCGAGUCCCAAUUAAAUUCAAUUUCAAGUUCAAGUCCAAUGUUAUUUAUUUAUUCACCAAUCUUAAAAGUAGUUCAGCUCUUCCAGGAUCAGGUACUCACGGAUAGAUGUUUUAGAUGCCAAAUUGUCCAGGAAAAGGCAGCGCUCUCCGAAGCGGCAGUGCGGCUUUGCUGCACGGAGGAAGCAGUCGACUCACAGCACCACGCACCUCCCACUCCGGAGCCCGUUACCGGGCUCCUGCACAGGGGAGAGCGCUCUCGGUGCCCGCCGAGUCCCACGCCCACAGGCUUCUUCCGCCUGUGGUUUUUAAGGGUCCCCGCUGCGCCGUAGCGGCAGGACCCAAGCCUCCGUGCAGCGGGUUCCCUUCAGUCCGAAGGGAAUUCCGCCAUUUUCCGGAGGCGCCACCCCGGAAGUCUAGGUUUCCACAAUUUUGGCCACUAGUGUUUACCAUCCAUUCAUCCACCCAUACACAAACACAGACAUGUUGCUGAUACUGCUGGACAGCUCCCCUGCCCUUCAGAACUUGGUCCUCUGACUUGGUAUUGACUCUACUGAUGCUGCUGGACCACUGCUGUGGGUCAGUGUUUCACUUCCCAGAACUUCCUGGAGGAAUGGGGCAUUUCCCCAUGUCUAGCAACAGUGAACUCAAGGCAAAAUCCUGAACGUUCUUGGAUUCUACAGUCUCUUUGUAGAGUGGAAAGGAAACUCCAGCGCUGUAGAGAUGAACACUUAAAACAGCACCACUCUUGGGAACCACAUAAAGCUAUGAGCAGUACUACUCCAAACUUAAGAGCUGUUUCUGUGCAAGAUUAACAGAACAAAUAUACAAAAGCAGGCUGCAAGUGGCCGCAUUGCCAAAUGCCGGUUGACCUAUUUAGGCACACCAAUAAAAAGCAAACUCAGUCUUUACUCUAGUAAACUGGGUCCAGCCGGAACAUAGGAGAGACUUGAAGAGAGAUGGCAUUGCAGAAAUACCAAUUUAGUGUGCCAAACAAAGGGUCAGAGUCUUAUCUAAAUGUUAUGACCUGUCAUGGGACCUUCUGGUGAAGAGUGGCUAAUUAAUCUCUUGAUAAGAGUUGAAUUGCCCCUGCCCACUGCUGGGUCCACUGCUGGAAUGCCACUGCAGAGAACUUUCCACCAAGGUAAUAUGGCCCUCAAGCCAAAAAGGGUUCCUCACCUGGUCUAGGAAGACCAUGCUGGAUCAGGCCCAAGGAGGCAGAGGGGAUGGUGAGUCUUAACCGUUAUCAGCGAGAUGCUUCUGGAAUUCCCACAAGCAACAAUUUAUUUUGCAACAGAGUUACUGGAAACCAAAGAUAGCCAUUGGUUGCUCUUAAGAGUGUUCCUGAGCAAGAUCUGAAUUUGGUAGGCCUAAUGAUGUAAACCUCUGAGCACCAAGAUUAUGUUUCCUUUCCGCUCUUUCUUUCUUUUUAAAAGAUAUGCCACCUUUGAGUACAGAUGUGCCAUCUAGAUCUUGUGACUCAUAGCUGCGAUUGAAAUGUGUGGCAUGAAUUAAUGUAUACCUUUUUUUUUACAUGCAGAAUAAAGAGCAGCUCUGCUGGAUCAGACAAAAGAUUCAUUUAUUCCACAUUCUGUUCCUAAUCGUUACCAGCCAUGAUGCCCCCAGGAAGUCUACAAGGAAGGCAAGAUGGCAACCGUUGUCUCCAUUGUUCAGAAACAUAUGCCUUCUGGACCAGAAUUCAGGGGAGGAGGAGACAUAGGGAAUUGUGGGAAGACCUUCAGUCCCCACAGCUGCCUCAUAGGGACCAGAUCUAAC